Molecule: ribosomal RNA, 543 nt
Filed under: Salmonella enterica
Lineage: Bacteria; Pseudomonadati; Pseudomonadota; Gammaproteobacteria; Enterobacterales; Enterobacteriaceae
Description: partial 23S ribosomal RNA
Rfam family: Bacterial large subunit ribosomal RNA
Source: RNAcentral
UUAACCGUAUAGGGGAGCCGGAGGGAAACCGAGUCUUAAUUGGGCGUUAAGUUGCAGGGUAUAGACCCGAAACCCGGUGAUCUAGCCAUGGGCAGGUUGAAGGUUGGGUAACACUAACUGGAGGACCGAACCGACUAAUGUUGAAAAAUUAGCGGAUGACCUGUGGCUGGGGGUGAAAGGCCAAUCAAACCGGGAGAUAGCUGGUUCUCCCCGAAAGCUAUUUAGGUAGCGCCUCGUGAAUUCAUCUCCGGGGGUAGAGCACUGUUUCGGCUAGGGGGCCAUCCCGGCUUACCAACCCGAUGCAAACUGCGAAUACCGGAGAAUGUUAUCACGGGAGACACACGGCGGGUGCUAACGUCCGUCGUGAAGAGGGAAACAACCCAGACCGCCAGCUAAGGUCCCAAAGUCAUGGUUAAGUGGGAAACGAUGUGGGAAGGCCCAGACAGCCAGGAUGUUGGCUUAGAAGCAGCCAUCAUUUAAAGAAAGCGUAAUAGCUCACUGGUCGAGUCGGCCUGCGCGGAAGAUGUAACGGGGCUAAACCAU